This 497-nucleotide ribosomal RNA is filed under the name uncultured bacterium. Its description in RNAcentral is "partial 16S ribosomal RNA". It matches the Rfam family "Bacterial small subunit ribosomal RNA", at positions 28 to 507 of the family's 1533-position model. The record is from RNAcentral.
GAUGAACGCUGGCGGCGUGCCUAAUACAUGCAAGUCGAGCGAACAGAUGAGGAGCUUGCUCCUCUGACGUUAGCGGCGGACGGGUGAGUAACACGUGGAUAACCUACCUAUAAGACUGGGAUAACUUCGGGAAACCGGAGCUAAUACCGGAUAAUAUAUUGAACCGCAUGGUUCAAUAGUGAAAGACGGUUUUGCUGUCACUUAUAGAUGGAUCCGCGCCGCAUUAGCUAGUUGGUAAGGUAACGGCUUACCAAGGCAACGAUGCGUAGCCGACCUGAGAGGGUGAUCGGCCACACGGGAACUGAGGCACGGUCCAGACUCCUACGGGAGGCAGCAGUAGGGAAUCUUCCGCAAUGGGCGAAAGCCUGCCGGAGCAACGCCGCGUGAGUGAUGAAGGUCUUCGGAUCGUAAAACUCUGUUAUUAGGGAAGAACAAAUGUGUAAGUAACUAUGCACGUCUUGACGGUACCUAAUCAGAAAGCCACGGCUAACUACGUG